GAUGAACGCUGGCGGCGUGCCUAAUACAUGCAAGUCGAGCGAACAGACGAGGAGCUUGCUCCUCUGACGUUAGCGGCGGACGGGUGAGUAACACGUGGAUAACCUACCUAUAAGACUGGGAUAACUUCGGGAAACCGGAGCUAAUACCGGAUAAUAUAUUGAACCGCAUGGUUCAAUAGUGAAAGACGGUUUUGCUGUCACUUAUAGAUGGAUCCGCGCCGCAUUAGCUAGUUGGUAAGGUAACGGCUUACCAAGGCAACGAUGCGUAGCCGACCUGAGAGGGUGAUCGGCCACACUGGAACUGAGACACGGUCCAGACUCCUACGGGAGGCAGCAGUAGGGAAUCUUCCGCAAUGGGCGAAAGCCUGACGGAGCAACGCCGCGUGAGUGAUGAAGGUCUUCGGAUCGUAAAGCGCUGUUAUUAGGGAAGAACAAAUGUGUAAGUAACUAUGCACGUCUUGACGGUACCUAAUCAGAAAGCCACGGCUAACUACGUG
RNAcentral lists this ribosomal RNA (497 nucleotides) under uncultured bacterium. RNAcentral's name for it is "partial 16S ribosomal RNA". It matches the Rfam family "Bacterial small subunit ribosomal RNA", at positions 28 to 507 of the family's 1533-position model. The record is from RNAcentral.